This is a long non-coding RNA of Brassica napus (rape), 1391 nucleotides long. RefSeq lists it as uncharacterized. Lineage: Eukaryota; Viridiplantae; Streptophyta; Magnoliopsida; Brassicales; Brassicaceae. The record is from RefSeq and is a predicted model, not a curated record. The transcript is spliced from 2 exons.
GGAUGCUUUAGUGGUCAUCCCCAACAUUGUCUCUUAAAACACUAGGUAAAUGUGAUUUUCCAGCAGUUGAGGUGGAUGAUGACAAUAACCAAAGUUAAGGCUUAAAGGCUUUGGAAAUAGAAAGAUGUGAGCAGCUAUUAAGGUGUUAAGGUGCUCUGGAUCCAAGUACUACAUAUUUGUAAACAUGAAAGCACCAUGAAGAUCUGCUGAGAAAAGGGUUGAUGCUAACUGAGCCUUCCUGCAAAAAGUAGAUCGAAUUAAGGAUGGUGACCAAGAGCUUAAAAGGAUUGUGGAUGCUAGCUAUUGUACAUCACAUCCCUCAGUUUCUUCCUUAUAAAAAAGCACAACGUCUGAAUUAGUAUCUUAGUAGUCAGAUAUAAGUGUACUGUAGUUUACCCGGUCACCUUGAUGAGUUUCAUCAUGUAACUUUCUCACAUACCAUCCAUUGGCUUACACAAUUCAAACCUGCACUCCAAACACAAGCGUAUCAGAGUCACAUGAGCUAGUUCAGUCUCUAUGAAAUGCUAUAAGAAAGAAGAAUUCACUUGUGGAGAUCUUGAGGGAGAUUCAAAGCACCAGAUUUCUUGAGUCGCUUCAUAGAUAUAUAUACAUUUUUUUAGAACGUUUUGAAUUCAUCUGUGAUGCUUUCCUAGAACCGGAGCUGAAGAAAAUGUGACUGACCAAAAUUAUCAAGAAGGAUGUAGUUGUUCUCCUCCACCUUCUUCUCAUUGUUACUUGGCAAGUACUUUCGAGCAGAGUCGCCGCUUUGAAGGAGACUAUGCAAGACCUUGUCAGCUCUACUCUUCUUCCCACGAGCAAACCAAUACAGGAGAACAAUGUGGUUUACCUUAGCAUUGGUUACCAGCAAGACUCUCAUCUACAGGGUGGAACAAUCUUGUAUAUGCAAAAAACAUCAUGAACAAAACCUUUUGUGAUUGAUCUCUUUGUUGGAGUAGGAAGUGAAGCAGCUUUUAAGUGGUGGUUCUUUAAGCACCACAAGUUGCGUUAUUGCCUUUCUCGUUCUUCUGCUGUUGUUGUUGACAAAGCUGAUCCCUUUCAAGCCUUUGUUGGAUAAGCAUCCAUUGAGCGGCUUUUGGGAUCAUGAACAACCAUGUUUGUAGUUGUCUGAAGUCGACCUAUGUACCCAAGAGAUGCUGUUGAAGGAGAUGAUCACGUGUACCCUAGAAACACUCACUUGACAUGUUUUUCUAACGUCUGAGAUUAAUUGAUAAGAGGGGUAAAGAUAAAUUAGUGAUACCAAGAAACCAAUAAUGCUUGCACACAAAAAAAAUUCACAUUAAGAGUGAUUAGAGAAAUGUCAGAGACUAACACAAGCACUACAUCAGAGAGCGGAUACAAACAAAGAACCACGCUCAAUCAUAAUCAUACAA